This 411-nucleotide ribosomal RNA is filed under the name Microbacteriaceae bacterium Ellin5407. Its description in RNAcentral is "bacterial SSU rRNA". It matches the Rfam family "Bacterial small subunit ribosomal RNA", at positions 50 to 458 of the family's 1533-position model. Lineage: Bacteria; Bacillati; Actinomycetota; Actinomycetes; Micrococcales; Microbacteriaceae. The record is from RNAcentral.
ACCCCAUGCAAGUCGAACGAUGAACCAGGUGCUUGCACUUGGGGAUUAGUGGCGAACGGGUGAGUAACACGUGAGCAACCUGCCCCUCACUCUGGGAUAAGCGCUGGAAACGGCGUCUAAUACUGGAUACGAGUCGCAACCGCAUGGUUAGUGACUGGAAAGAUUUUUUGGUGGGGGAUGGGCUCGCGGCCUAUCAGCUUGUUGGUGAGGUAAUGGCUCACCAAGGCGUCGACGGGUAGCCGGCCUGAGAGGGUGACCGGCCACACUGGGACUGAGACACGGCCCAGACUCCUACGGGAGGCAGCAGUGGGGAAUAUUGCACAAUGGGCGGAAGCCUGAUGCAGCAACGCCGCGUGAGGGAUGACGGCCUUCGGGUUGUAAACCUCUUUUAGCAGGGAAGAAGCGAAAGUG